This 470-nucleotide ribosomal RNA is filed under the name uncultured bacterium. RNAcentral's name for it is "partial 16S ribosomal RNA". It matches the Rfam family "Bacterial small subunit ribosomal RNA", at positions 28 to 523 of the family's 1533-position model. The record is from RNAcentral.
GACGAACGCUGGCGGCGUGCCUAACACAUGCAAGUCGAGCGAGGUAUUUAUACCUAGCGGCGGACGGGUGAGUAACACGUGGGUAACCUGCCUCAUAGAGGGGAAUAGCCUUCCGAAAGGGAGAUUAAUACCGCAUAAUAUAUACUGGUAGCAUUAACGGUAUAUCAAAGGAGAAAUCCGCUAUGAGAUGGGCCCGCGGCGCAUUAGCUAGUUGGAGAGGUAACGGCUCACCAAGGCGACGAUGCGUAGCCGACCUGAGAGGGUGAUCGGCCACAUUGGAACUGAGACACGGUCCAGACUCCUACGGGAGGCAGCAGUGGGGAAUAUUGCACAAUGGGGGAAACCCUGACCCAGCAACGCCGCGUGAGGGAAGAAGGUUUUCGGAUUGUAAACCUCUGUUCUUGGUGAAGAGAAGAAGACGGUAGCCAAGGAGGAAGCCCCGGCUAACUACGUGCCAGCCGCCGCGGUAA